RNAcentral lists this ribosomal RNA (402 nucleotides) under uncultured prokaryote. RNAcentral's name for it is "bacterial SSU rRNA". It matches the Rfam family "Bacterial small subunit ribosomal RNA", at positions 355 to 774 of the family's 1533-position model. The record is from RNAcentral.
UAGGGAAUAUUGGUAAUGUGCGAAAGCGCGAACCAGCAACGCCGCGUGCACGAUGAAGGCCUUCGGGUUGUAAAGUGCUUUUAGAGAGGAUGAGGAAGGACAGUACUUUCUGAAUAAGCCUCGGCUAACUACGUGCCAGCAGCCGCGGUAAAACGUAGGAGGCAAGCGUUAUCCGGAUUUACUGGGCGUAAAGCGCAUGCAGGUGGUCUUGCAAGUUGGAUGUGAAAGCUCCUGGCUUAACUAGGAGAGGUCGUUCAAAACUGUGAGACUAGAGAGUGGUAGAGGGAGGUGGAAUUCCGGGUGUAGUGGUUAAAUGCGUAGAUAUCCGGAGGAACACCAGUGGCGAAAGCGGCCUCCUGGACCAUUCCUGACACUCAGACGCGAAAGCUAGGGUAGCAAACG